This 253-nucleotide long non-coding RNA is filed under the name Setaria italica (foxtail millet). RNAcentral's name for it is "long non-coding RNA (SITA_LNC003570)". The record is from RNAcentral. Lineage: Eukaryota; Viridiplantae; Streptophyta; Magnoliopsida; Poales; Poaceae.
CCACUUGCAUCGCAUCAGUGAAGAGAGUGCAUUUAGGCAUGGCCUGGAUCUACGAAAUAACUCAGAAACAUGAGCAGCAACCAUAGCUGCUGCAACUAUUUCAUUUGAGCUAUAGCUCCAUGAGGUACCAACUGAUGAUGGCUUCAGGGAGAAAAGAGCUUCCAAGAUGCCAAGUAUUCUGCGAGUAUGAAGAAUUGCUGAGCUGAUGCUAUUGUGUAGCUCUUUAUUGAUCCCAUUAGUUUUUCCAGGUACA